This is a long non-coding RNA of Salvia splendens (bonfire salvia), 2506 nucleotides long. RefSeq lists it as uncharacterized. Lineage: Eukaryota; Viridiplantae; Streptophyta; Magnoliopsida; Lamiales; Lamiaceae. The transcript is spliced from 3 exons. The record is from RefSeq and is a predicted model, not a curated record.
UAUCCUUAGAAAAUGCGGGCGUGACAGAGUGGUAUCAGAGCCAUCUUUCUUUCCGCUCUUGACCCGAGAGUCUUUUUCAGUCUUAGUCUAGACUUGUUUCUCUAGACUUAAAGAAGGUUAAAUUUGGAAGGCUCAACAUCCCGCUUCGCCACGCUCAACCAAGAAAGAGGUAAUAUAUUUUUAUGUGAAAAUUUUUUUUAUGAGAAAGUUUCGGAGAAAGGACGACGAGAAAAAAAUUUGAGAAAGAAAGAGGAGAAAAUUUUUAUAAGAAGGAGGAAGUAGAAUCUUUCUUUGAGAGAUUGAUUUCGAGUUGAGAAUAGUAUUUUCUGAUGUUUGAGAAAAGAGCAAGUUUUGAAGAGAAAUUACGAGUUUGAUUUCGAGUUUGAGUUUUAAAGUGUGAAAGUGUUGUGCUUAAGGAUGUGAAAAUGUUGUGUGCCAUAAUUGUUAUCUUGAGGUAGAAAUUUCGUUAAAUGUGAUAGUUGUUGAUGUAUGAGAUAAUGAAAUGUGUUGCGACCUUAGAGUGCCUAAGGCGUAGGCCUAGUUGACCGCGCAAAUAAUAGUUGAAAACUUAACCAUUGCUUUCCUGAGCAAUGAAACGAACGAGAAUCCGAAAGUUUGGAAUGAACCCCUAAAUUGAUCGAGGCACGACGAGACGAGAGGAUCGAGAUAGAGGAUGGAGGCCAAUGGACAAUGAAAUUUUUUCUAUUCUUGGAAUGGCGCGAAACAUUGGAGCAAGCUUGAUGUGUGAACUAUUUUACUAUUUCCUACGUUUCCCUGAACGACAAGAACAAAAAAAAAGAAUACGAGGAAGAUUUCAAGAAGUCGAAGAUAGCAAAGACGAAGUGAAGUUCAAACGCAAAAGAGGGUGCAAGACAAGGAGGGAUGAUGCGAAGUGCACGAUUUUUAAUAUAGUCUAAUCUCGCGUAAUUUUUAACAGUGGCAGCAAUGUGACGUUCAACGACAAUGUUAAACGACAUGAGGAAGCUGCUUGGAAGACAAGACGAUGGAAAAAUUCUUUACUCGAAGGACGUAAGUAAAUUUCGGGACGAAAUUUUUGGUAAGAUGGGUAGAUUGUAACACCCCGACUUUUUCUACUCUUUUUAUUGUGUUCUUGAAAGGACCGUCGUUUGUGCACUUGGAAAUUUUACGACCUUGUUAUAUUUUUUUCGGGAGAAGAAUUUUACCUUUUGGGCCAAACAUUUAUUUUUUUAACCCAAUUUAAAACCCAAUUGUGUUGAGCCCAAAACACAUUUUAUUUCUUUCUGUUUGAGCCAAUUUUGGAGAAGCCCAAAGAUUUUUCUUUUAUUCCACUACACUUUUAAAUCCCACUAUCUAUUCCAUUAUCUCAACAAGAAAUUAUAUACUCUAUUCCACUACCUCCACCACCACAAACAUCACAACGGCCAUUCAUGACUUUGCUUUUAGAGAUUUCCCCACUAAUUCUAAACAAUAUAUAUUCCUCCCACAUCAGUUUCCAACUCCACAUAUUUCACGUUUCACACAUCCAAUUUGGAGAGAAGAAAACCGAGAGGUGAGGGGAGAAAAGAGUGAGGCAGCGGUUGAUGAGAGGAGGAUUUCAAUCCUUUUGAGAGGGGUACGCCGACAGCAAUGGCACAGCGAGGUCUCGGAGUCGAGAGCAACAGCGAAUUUUGCUUACGGACAGCGGUGACCCCACGCGGCGUGCGACGGAGGAUAGGCGAGCGACAGCGUCUCCCAGCGGCGACGGAGCAGCGGCUACAACGGCAUCUCCCGGCAGCGAUGACGCUGAACGAACCCGACGGAUCGAUGGCAAACCUUCUGCACAGCAACUGUCGACGUCUAGCAGCAGCUAACCGACAAGCAGAGGCGCCGGCGUGAGCACCGACGCGAUAUGGAGAAUCUGGACGCGCGACAGCAGCGUCUCCCGGCUCUGAGCAGCAGCAACAAUGUGCAGCAAGGGCUGAUCGUGACAGCGAUGGACUCACGGCUGGAAGGCGGUGACAAAGAGCGACCCCAGCAGCGGCUGCUCGGUGAUGACGGCGACACUGCAAGACCUUCGACUGCACAGCAGCGACGACGCAGCAGCGCCGAGCGUCUGUGGUGGACACGGGUGACGAAUCGGAGUCAGCAGCGGCGACGUCGGCGGCGAACAGGCUGACCAACGGGCAGUAGCCGACGACGACCGAUCUGGACCGUGAGUUGCAGAGUUUACAGUGAUGGAACAAAACGAAUUGAUAGAGAGAUGAGUGAUGGUGGUCGAAAGAGGAAAGGGAGCGACGGCGGAGCAGCAACGUUCAUACAGCAGCGUCUCCCGGCUCUGUGCAGCAGCCAACAACAGCAACAACGUGCAGCAACGGGCCGAACAGCGAUGGCACCGCUCGUCUGCUCGACGAAUUCCGAACAGUGAAACAUCGCAAGUGAAUCGUGAUCGCAAGGGAAAGAAAGUGUUUUCGGAUUAAGCACACGAGGUUGAGCGGUGACGAGCGCGGUGGCUGUUGAGCAUAAAAGUGAAGAAUGUCUAUCAAAU